AAAAAGACAAACCCUGGUUUUCGUGCCCAACGUUUGACCGUCCGUCUUAUUUGAAAAAAUUAUGAAAAAAAUUAAAAAGACAAGUCACGCACAAAGUAUUAAUUAUGUUUUAUCAUCUAACAACAAUAAAAAUACGAAUUAUAAAAAAAUUUCAUAUAAGACGGACAGUCAAAGUUGGACACGGAAACUCAGGGUUUGUCUUUUU
Molecule: microRNA precursor, 205 nt
Filed under: Oryza glumipatula
Lineage: Eukaryota; Viridiplantae; Streptophyta; Magnoliopsida; Poales; Poaceae
Description: MIR812 microRNA precursor family
Rfam family: MIR812 microRNA precursor family
Source: Rfam by way of RNAcentral